Ornithorhynchus anatinus (platypus) is the source of this 742-nucleotide long non-coding RNA. RefSeq lists it as uncharacterized. The record is from RefSeq and is a predicted model, not a curated record. Lineage: Eukaryota; Metazoa; Chordata; Mammalia; Monotremata; Ornithorhynchidae. The transcript has 3 exons.
CUGGGGCCGAUGGUCCCCACGACGGUCUGAGCCGGACCCCAGUCUCCCUCAGCCCGGGGCUCUGACCAGAUCUGAGCGUUUCCCAUCAGGGUAGCCGAGGAGAUCCAUCACGGUGGUGGUCGGGCCUACAGACUCUUUGAAACCUGCUCCCUCUCAAUCCUCACCCCUGCCUCCCCUCUGCCCUUACACUCAAGAGGAAAAGUUGGCUGCCCUCAGUGGACCCAAACCCAGCCUAACAGGACCAGGUUCUGGGAGCACCAAGCUGAACAUAAAACCCGCUGCUCUGUCUUCUCCGUCCCUCUUCACCUCUGGAGCCGAAUGAAACAUCAGGCAUUUGCAGCCCUCACCUCCCUGCAGGUUCUCAGCCCUCCUUUGGCUGGAUUAAUGAGGAAGUUCUUCCCCAGAAGAUGCCUGCCUCCCUUCACCGGAGCCCAGACAGUACAGGAAGAAGAAAGGAUUUCAUGGAAACAACGGCUCUAGAAAGGUUUUGCCUAGUGGCUCCUGGUUACACGGGAGAGGGAGGAAGAGAGGGCAGUGUGGGUGGCAAGGUACUAUUUAGCAACCCCGGGGACGAAGAGGCAUCCAUCAGAAGAGCGUCUUAGACCGGAAGAUGAGGGGUGGGGGAACACGACAGCAGUAGCCAUCGCCUCUGGACGGUGGAAGAGGGCAACGCACUGUUGAGAUGUACCUGAAAAUAAUAAUGUUGUUCCUUGACUUAAUAUAGCACAUUCAUUUUUCCAAA